UGGGGAAUUUUGGACAAUGGGCGAAAGCCUGAUCCAGCAAUGCCGCGUGUGUGAAGAAGGCCUUCGGGUUGUAAAGCACUUUUGUCCGGAAAGAAAUCCUUGGCUCUAAUACAGUCGGGGGAUGACGGUACCGGAAGAAUAAGCACCGGCUAACUACGUGCCAGCAGCCGCGGUAAUACGUAGGGUGCAAGCGUUAAUCGGAAUUACUGGGCGUAAAGCGUGCGCAGGCGGUUUGCUAAGACCGAUGUGAAAUCCCCGGGCUCAACCUGGGAACUGCAUUGGUGACUGGCAGGCUAGAGUAUGGCAGAGGGGGGUAGAAUUCCACGUGUAGCAGUGAAAUGCGUAGAGAUGUGGAGGAAUACCGAUGGCGAAGGCAGCCCCCUGGGCCAAUACUGACGCUCAUGCACGAAAGCGUGGGGAGCAAAACAGGAUUAGAUACCCUGGUAGUCCACGCCCUAAACGAUGUCAACUAGUUGUUGGGGAUUCAUUUCCUUAGUAACGUAGCUAACGCGUGAAGUUGACCGCCUGGGGGAGUACGGUCGCAAGAUUAAAACUCAAAGGAAUUGACGGGGUCAUAGCUGUUUCCU
Molecule: ribosomal RNA, 587 nt
Filed under: uncultured bacterium
Lineage: Bacteria
Description: partial 16S ribosomal RNA
Rfam family: Bacterial small subunit ribosomal RNA
Source: RNAcentral